UCUAAGUGCAGUUUUACAUUGUUUGUGUUCAACGUUUAACCGUUCGUCUUAUUUGAAACAUUUUUAUGAUUAGUAUUUUUGUUGUUAUUAAAUGAUAAAACAUUAAUAGUACUCUGUGUGUGACUAGACUAAUUUUUUUUAAAAAAAUUAUAAUUUUUUUAAAUAAGACAGAUGAUCAAAGUUGUACACACAUAUCCACGACUGCACUUAUU
Oryza barthii is the source of this 212-nucleotide non-coding RNA. NCBI's taxonomy places the organism in Eukaryota, Viridiplantae, Streptophyta, Magnoliopsida, Poales, Poaceae. The record is from Rfam.